ACAUUCGACCAUAGGAUGUUGAAAACAAGGCUUCCCGUUCGCUCAGCCCUAUUUAAGCAGCAUACCGGUAGAGUAGUAGCUACGUGGGAGACCAGUAGCGAAUGCCUGCUGUUGAAUGUU
RNAcentral lists this ribosomal RNA (120 nucleotides) under Phaeosphaeriaceae sp. SRC1lsM3a. The record is from RNAcentral. Lineage: Eukaryota; Fungi; Ascomycota; Dothideomycetes; Pleosporales; Phaeosphaeriaceae.